This 752-nucleotide non-coding RNA is filed under the name Lethe dura. The record is from RNAcentral. Lineage: Eukaryota; Metazoa; Arthropoda; Insecta; Lepidoptera; Nymphalidae.
UUUUAUAUUAGGUUUAUUUUUACAUAUAAAUUUUAGUAUGAAAUUUUAAUUAUUUUAAAAAUAAUUAAUUAAAAAUUAUAGUAAGUAAAAUUAAAAAUUUAAGAAAUUAAGAUUUAGUAAUAUAAAAAUUAAUAACUAAUUUUGUGCCAGCAGUUGCGGUUACACAAAAAUUAAAUUAAAUUAUUUCAGUAUUUAAUAAAUAAAUAUAAUAUUAAAAUAAAUAUUAAAUUAUUAGGUGAAAUUUUAAUUUAAUUAAAUUUUAAAUUUAAUUUAUGAUUUAGUAAAUUUAAUAAUAAACUAGGAUUAGAUACCCUAUUAUUAUAAAUUUAAUUAAUAAUACUAAAAUAGUAGAUAAUAAAUAUUGAAACUUAAAUAAUAUGGCGGUAUUUUAGUUCAUUUAGAGGAAUCUGUUUAAUAAUUGAUAAUCCACGAAUAAAUUUACUUAAUUUAGUAUUUUAUAUAUCGUUGUUAAAAAAAUAUUUUAUAAUAAAAAUAAUAUUUUAAAAUUUAUAUAAUAAAUUAGUUCAAAUCAAGAUGUAGAUUAUAAUUAAGAAUAUAAUGGAUUACAAUAAAAUAAUUUAAAAUGAAUAAUUAAUUUUAAAAUUAAUUUAAAGGUGGAUUUAAAUGUAAUUUUAAUUAAUUUAUUAAAAUGAUUAAAAAUUGAAAUAUGUACAUAUUGCCCGUCACUUUCAUUUAAAAAUUGGAAUAAGUCGUAACAAAGUAGAAGUACUGGAAAGUGUUUCUAGAAUGAA